CCUACGGGGGGCUGCAGUGGGGAAUAUUGGACAAUGGGGGGAACCCUGAUCCUGCCAUGCCGCGUGUGUGAAGAAGGCCCUCGGGUUGUAAAGCACUUUCAGUGAGGAAGAACGCCUGGUGGUUAAUACCCAUCAGGAAAGACAUCACUCACAGAAGAAGCACCGGCUAACUCCGUGCCAGCAGCCGCGGUAAUACGGAGGGUGCGAGCGUUAAUCGGAAUUACUGGGCGUAAAGCGCGCGUAGGUGGCUUGAUAAGCCGGUUGUGAAAGCCCCGGGCUCAACCUGGGAACGGCAUCCGGAACUGUCAAGCUAGAGUGCAGGAGAGGAAGGUAGAAUUCCCGGUGUAGCGGUGAAAUGCGUAGAGAUCGGGAGGAAUACCAGUGGCGAAGGCGGCCUUCUGGACUGACACUGACACUGAGGUGCGAAAGCGUGGGUAGCAAACAGGAUUAGAUACCCCGGUAGUC
This 465-nucleotide ribosomal RNA is filed under the name Vreelandella stevensii. RNAcentral's name for it is "partial 16S ribosomal RNA". It matches the Rfam family "Bacterial small subunit ribosomal RNA", at positions 338 to 795 of the family's 1533-position model. The record is from RNAcentral. Lineage: Bacteria; Pseudomonadati; Pseudomonadota; Gammaproteobacteria; Oceanospirillales; Halomonadaceae.